AAGUGGCUCCCAAGUGAAUCCCCUAGUUUCUCCAUAUAACCCUCCAUGCCUCUACUGGGGCUCAGCAGCCUUACCUCCCCUGCUCUUCAGGGUCAAUUACUCCUGCCAAAAUGACUCUUCUUUUUACCUGCUGGUCCUUGAACAGAAGAUAUCCCAGAUGCCCUGAGGGCAGCUUGCAGGUCUAUGGAACUUAUGCUGGGUCCUCUGGCAAAGAUGCAUUCUCUUUGUGGACCAAGACCUGCCUAGAGAACAGGUAGUUGCAAGGAGGGAAGCAGAUCAGUGGAUCAUCAAGUGUGAUGAUAAGUGAGGCCACCCGGCUUCUCUUCCUUGGCUCUGGGCCCCAUAUAUUCUUUCUAUUGCAUAUACAACACCAUGUAGGAAUCUCUGACUUAAUAUACACAAUGCAUUGUGAAGGCUGGCACUCAAUUCUUUCAGAAUAUUGUUUCUGAGCUGGCACUCUGGCUCUGCCUUCUGCAGGCCAUUCUCAGCACUUUAGGAGAAUAGAUGCUACUAAAUAUUGAAUAUAUGAUACAAACAAUAUAAUUCAUUGCUAUGUACCAUUCCUGCACCUCAUACACUAAAGGGUGAAUGAAUCCUCUAUUCAUAUGCCAAGUUGUAUGAGACUCCAUGCUUAAAGAUCUUACAAUCCGUAUGCCCACAGUAGUGGUGCAGGCUCGAGCUCUAUAGACAAUAUCAUAACUAGAAUAUGUAUAUUUUCUUGUGUGAACUAAUCGGUGGCCCUCCCAGGAUAAAAGGGGCACAAAGUAGUCAAUGUCUCACUAUUUCACUGUUUGUUUUCCUUGAAGAAUAGCACCUUCCCAGAAACUCAGCCUUGAUCUGUGUCACUGGCAAGUUGGACAUUCAUGAGAGAAGUGUCUUGAUUAACUCCCUUGGCAAGUGGGAGUCCAUGCUAUUGAGCCCAAUGCACCUCCAUCUCUGCCACUAUGGCCACCUGUUUGUGUGCCCCUGGAGAAUUCAUAUACAUGAGUAUCUUUUCAAGAGUGAGAAGACCCAAAAUAAUGGUCAAAGCAGAAAGUUUUUAUACUUUUAGAAAAAGAACAAUAAAUUUGUGAAGAAAUGACAAGACAACAGUGUAGAGAGCCAAAAGCCUGUGGGUUGUAACCUACUCAGCAUUCCACUGGAGGCUAUAUGAUCAAACAACAAACUGUUUGUCAUGAAUGCAGGAUGUGGGAAAACUCACAGCCGCCAGAAGGUAUGCUGAGUGCAAUCACUCCCUGGUACCAUUGUCCUUGAGGUUAUCUACUGGAACAUCUAAAGACUACUGUUCAGAGAAUACAGUGGUGCAGGCCUGCACUGAGUCAAGCAGCCUACUGACAACCACCUCCUUCUCCCUAUCUCCUUUUCUCAAUAAAUAUGAAGGAAGCUAUAAGCUCAGGGCCCUUGUUCACUAAAAGCAAGGAGCCCCCUGACCCCGUCAUCCAAAUAUACUCUUUUGUCUUUGUCUUUAUUUCCAUGUGCGACCCCCUUUGUUCCAUCCAACAGGGACUGGGGCCAUGACACAAAAAGAUCUAAGCUAGGGACAGUGAAUUCCAGGGAAGUCACUAGGAGAUGUAUUGGUGUGGAAUGUCAAGGAGGAGUUAUAAAGCUAGUGGGAGAUAAGAGUUACUUUAGUUUAUUUGUACAGGUCUACUGCAGCAAAAAUUUCCAAACCUGGGGAUACGGUUAUUUUCUUGUCCUGGCACAGGGAAGGCAUCUUUCUCCAUGGAAGUUUUACGGCUUGCUAUAUGCAGGAAAAGGCAGGUCAGAUAGUCACUUCUGGAACUACAGUUUCCAAAGUGCUUUGAGCUUGAAGUAAUCAAUACACUAAUUUGGCAUAUUUUAGAGUGGCACACUUUUAACUCCUUUAUUUUUCCUGUCUGAAACUUCCGUAACAGUUUCAAAUUAAAAGCUGAGUUGGUAUUUGUGGAGAGAAGAGUUGUGUUAGCAGCUGAGUGGCAAGGGAUCUGCAAAGGGAGAGAAGAACACAGAUUAGAAGGAGAAUUAAUAAGCAGAAAAGCACAAUCUAAACACAUUUACCCAUACUCCAUUCAACCAGUCUCCUAUCCCUGACAAUGGGUCAGGCCAAUUGAAUGGUUUAGCUUCAUUUAUAUGACGAAGAGUGUUUAUCUUGUCUUUCAAAAAGUUCAGAUUAGAUUCUAUUUGUCCCUGGUGGUUUACAUAUAAGCAGCAUUCCUCACCAAUGAUUGCACAUGCUGCUCCUUCUUGGGCUGUCAUUCUAUCCAGGACAUGGUGAUUCUGGAGUACGACAGAGGCUAAACUGUUAACUUCUGGUUGGAGUCUUCUCAGUGCUUGCAUAGUAAUACUGACUCCUGUUCUAUUACCAUGGAAACAUUGAGAAUUUCCCUUUCCCUCUCAUAAGUUCCAAAGCCUGGGAAAAUGGAUCUCAGCAUGGAAAGGAACUUAGAAUUCUGACAUAUAAGGGGAUUUUCUGUAACAUCUCAUUUAGUACGCUUGUGUGGCAUUACUUUAUAAAAAAAGGAGCCCAAGUUUAUAAUUUGGCUGGCAUUGAAGGAGGAGUACUUGGUGACGAAGGCAUUGGGUAUCUGAGUCCCCAUCAUUCUGACCAUGUAGGUGAGAACCCUUCAUAGACCUUGUCACCACGCAAGAUAAAAAGACCAGUGUGGUUCACAAAUAAUAUCAGAGUCAAAUUUGUGACCCAACAGAUUGGGGUUUGUUGUGCCUGGUCUUCUGUCAUAUUGGCAUCUGUGAAUCUGUAUGUGUCUCUGUCAGUCCAUAGGAGCAGAACAGAUUGCACAAUAUCAGAUAUAGGAGAUCUUUAGUUUGGUUUUGGCAGCUAUAGGGCUUGAUUUUGUCACCUGGCCAAGUUAUUCCACAUUUUUUGAAUACUCACCAUGCUAUCACCAUGUAAUCUUUGGUGCCUAUCAGUCUAAUGAGGAGAGCAAGUGAGCAAAUCCAAGUUGCACAGGGCUGACUUCUGGGCCAUCCAUAACAUCUGGUGAUGUGGCAAGUGUUUGUACCAUAGGAGUGUCAAGACCAUUUAUGACCUUCGUGAGAGGCUUAUGUGCCAUCUGUGGCAUCAAGUCACAGGGUUUGAUUGUGCUACUGCCUUGGGAAGUUACCUGUGAAAGAUCCUGCAUCAUCUCUGCUUUCAGUACAAAGGGAAAAAUCCCCUUCUAAUAUCUUUACCUAAACAAACGACAUUCCUCAACCUUCUACACAGGUGUCCAACUCACCAAAAAGAGAGGUCUCAGGAAGGCAGACGUGUGACAAGACAGACAGACUGACACACUUCUUGUGGAUGCAGAUCUUUCCUGGGCCACACACAGUACCAUCUUUCACGUCACCAAUGUCAGAUUGGCUAUGUGGAUGCUGGAAGAUGGGGAAAACUUGUUUCAGUCUGAACAUUAUCCUUGCCAUCAACUUGCCUAAAGAGGUUGGAUUCAUCUGGGCGGUUUUCACUGUUGCAAGUUAGGUACCUUAUUCCAUGAGGUGCAAGUAGCAUGGAAGAGAAAAGCAAAGUUCAUAGACAAAACUUCAAAGAACAAAGAUCUCUGAAUUGGGAGGAAAUUCUAACUGCCAGAUUUGUUCUCGGUAUUUCUCUUGAUAUGUUUUCUGCUUAUUAUGGAGUGACAGUUGUUGUGGUUGGGAAGAUUGAAAAUGGGAAGCACUAAUCAAAGAUAUAAUGUUGUGGAAAGGACUGAUAAGCUACACAAACUCGUAUCAUAUUAUUCUUUUUCUUGGAGCUCAGCAUGAGAGCAGGCAAUAACAGGAGAAUAACUUCAAAAAUAUCUGUAAGCCAGAUUCAUUGUCUUCAUUCCUAGGGCUUACAGAGACCAAAGCUCCUGAAGUACCAUCAUUCUACCAGGGAUACUGUGAGGUGGUCCCACUCUAAAUCCAUGUCCUCUAACAUCAGUGGACUGUCCAGUGAGCUAACAGCCCACUUAUUCAUGUUUGAUAAACUCUUCCUUUCCCCACAGCUGUUUCAAAUUCAUCAAGACCCCUCUCUACCCAUCUUCCCUCUUAUUCCAAUGCCCUAAUGCACUAUUUUCCUAUCUGUCUGUCACUAGUAUCUGUCCCAUUAGAGUCAUGGAAGUAAUUCAGCUGGUUAUAGCCUGCAGUUGUUUUCCUUAAGGGAAUAGAACAGAAAUAUCAGAAGGCAUCCCUAGAAGAUCCUUAGCAACUCUUGAACACACAGUGCCAAAUAUUUGGGUUUAAGUGUGUGGAAGGCCACAAUGUCACAAUAUAAAAUGGAUUUCUUUCUCUGGAGUAUGAGAUAGAUAUAUAUACCAAAUUCAAAGACAAAAUGGUUUCUAGGCCUUUCACCAUCUGAAUCCACCUACGUCUACCUCUUCUCUACCUCACUCCCUCUCUAGUCUCAUUAGCCCCUCAUAGUUCCAGAUCAUCUCUCCCACCUACUUGAGGACUGUUUCUAUCAAUUUUCCCUACUCUCAACUGCAUCUUCAUCUUCUACUACUUUUUCUAUUCCUUACUGGCAAUUUGGGUGACUACCUCAUCCUGAUUUUCCCAGGACAGUCCUGGUUUUAAAACUGAAAGUCCUGCACCCAGCAAUCCCCUCAGUCCCAACCCAACUGGAAUAGUUCAUCACCCUACCUACACCCAUGCUCAAGUCACUCAUAUCUUUACAAAUGAAAACAAAACAAAAAUUCAGAGACUUCACAGCAUCCAGUGGACUACUCUGGAUACCAAAUUAUGCAUAGAACCAAACUUGAUGACUUACCAUCAGAAGAAACAGUAGUUUCCAUGGCCAUUUCUGUGUAGAUGGUUUAUACUACCCUUUAUCAAUGGUUUGUAGCUGAGGCCACAGAGCAAAGGGAAACAUAAGCCCUCUCCCUUUUGUCUCUCAGGUGACUAAAUUCUAGAUUUAGCUACUUAGCAACAAGGAACUUUCAAUUCUACAGAAAUAAUAAUAGACUCUCAAGAAUAUCUUGCUCUCAUCCUGCUAUUUCUAUACUCAUUUCCAAAUUCAAUCCAGUUGGAAUUGGGUUGUCUCCUCACCUCCAGUCUAUGAACCCUGACAGCACAGGUUUGUAAUUUUGCUCAUGCCAUUGCAUUGGUCUAGACUGUCUAAUCACUUUUCCCAUUGAACUGAAUUACGGUAACUUUCUAGGGCAAGAUCAAAUUCCACUUCCAUUAUCAAAUCUUUCCUAAAUAAUCCAGAAAACAUUAACAUCCUGUAACUCUCUUUAUAACUAUAAUAUGCAAUACAUUUUUGUGUGACAAAAUUUAUAUCCUUGCUAUUUUCUGUUUUAUACGUGAGUUUUAAAAAUUGCAUCUCCUAUUAGACUAUAAUGUUUUGGAGAAAAAUAUGCUCAAAAUGGUUGGUGGAGAAUUUAUGGUAUAGUGUUUGUUAAAAUAUAUAAUCAAUAAGGUGAGUUCAAUAUAUAAAAACUACACAGGAUAAGGACUAAUUUAAUAAAAUAUUAACUCUAACUUUGGGAGUUUCUGUUUUAGAUUCUUGUCAACUCUUAAUUUACCUGGUAGAAUCAGAGCCUCAUGAGAUAACCAUCAAUUAGAAGCAGUUUUAAUUACAGUCCCCUUCCACUUCCUGCUGGAAAAGAUUCUACUAUUUAUGCUGGUUUCUUUAGAAAUCUGACGAGGUUCCUUUUUAUAAACUGUUUUGCUCAUACAGGCAAAACUGGAGACACCUGUGCCUUAGGAGGGAUAGAUACAAAGAGGUUUGUCUUCCGCUGGACUCAGUGGAUAACCUCUGCUUUUAUACCAGACAUCACUUACAAUUAAGUAUACAUAGCCCCAAAAAAUGAGAGUAGAGGAAAUCACAUACAUUCAGUCAUGGAAAAAGCUUAGUAGCAAGCCAGUAGCACUAGUAAGCAGAGCAAAGAAACCCUAUGCAGGGAGAAAGAUAAGUGAGGAAGAAUAGAAUUCCUGCUUCAACAAAUAGUAACCUGCAAGAUCUAUA
This is a long non-coding RNA of Macaca mulatta (Rhesus monkey), 5920 nucleotides long. RefSeq lists it as uncharacterized. The record is from RefSeq and is a predicted model, not a curated record. NCBI's taxonomy places the organism in Eukaryota, Metazoa, Chordata, Mammalia, Primates, Cercopithecidae.